This 496-nucleotide ribosomal RNA is filed under the name uncultured bacterium. RNAcentral's name for it is "partial 16S ribosomal RNA". It matches the Rfam family "Bacterial small subunit ribosomal RNA", at positions 28 to 506 of the family's 1533-position model. The record is from RNAcentral.
GAUGAACGCUGGCGGCGUGCCUAAUACAUGCAAGUCGAGCGAACGGACGAGAAGCUUGCUUCUCUGAUGUUAGCGGCGGACGGGUGAGUAACACGUAGAUAACCUACCUAUAAGACUGGGAUAACUUCGGGAAACCGGAGCUAAUACCGGAUAAUAUUUUGAACCGCAUGGUUCAAAAGUGAAAGACGGUCUUGCUGUCACUUAUAGAUGGAUCCGCGCUGCAUUAGCUAGUUGGUAAGGUAACGGCUUACCAAGGCAACGAUGCAUAGCCGACCUGAGAGGGUGAUCGGCCACACUGGAACUGAGGCACGGUCCAGACUCCUACGGGAGGCAGCAGUAGGGAAUCUUCCGCAAUGGGCGAAAGCCUGACGGAGCAACGCCGCGUGAGUGAUGAAGGUCUUCGGAUCGUAAAACUCUGUUAUUAGGGAAGAACAUAUGUGUAAGUAACUGUGCACAUCUUGACGGUACCUAAUCAGAAAGCCACGGCUAACUACGU